RNAcentral lists this transfer RNA (70 nucleotides) under Puntius eugrammus (striped barb). RNAcentral's name for it is "tRNA-Met". It matches the Rfam family "tRNA". Rfam says of the family: Transfer RNA (tRNA) molecules are approximately 80 nucleotides in length. Their secondary structure includes four short double-helical elements and three loops (D, anti-codon, and T loops). Further hydrogen bonds mediate the characteristic L-shaped molecular structure. tRNAs have two regions of fundamental functional importance: the anti-codon, which is responsible for specific mRNA codon recognition, and the 3' end, to which the tRNAs corresponding amino acid is attached (by aminoacyl-tRNA synthetases). tRNAs cope with the degeneracy of the genetic code in two manners: having more than one tRNA (with a specific anti-codon) for a particular amino acid; and 'wobble' base-pairing, i.e. permitting non-standard base-pairing at the 3rd anti-codon position. Lineage: Eukaryota; Metazoa; Chordata; Actinopteri; Cypriniformes; Cyprinidae. The record is from RNAcentral.
GGCGGAGUCAGCUAAUUUAAGCUUCUGGGCCCAUACCCCAGAAAUGACGGUUAAAACCCUUCCUCCACCA